Molecule: ribosomal RNA, 827 nt
Filed under: Allobenedenia dischizosepta
Lineage: Eukaryota; Metazoa; Platyhelminthes; Monogenea; Capsalidea; Capsalidae
Description: partial large subunit ribosomal RNA
Rfam family: Eukaryotic large subunit ribosomal RNA
Source: RNAcentral
CAGGAUUCUCUUAGUAACGGCGAGUGAAAAGAGAUUAGCCCAACAUCGAAGCCACCAUGCUUUUGUGUGGAAGGCAAUGUGAUGUUAAGGUGUUUGAUUUCGCUGACUGACUAACUUGAAGUCCAUAUUUGACUGUGGCUUGUGUGUAUACACCCAGAGAUGGUGAAAGGCCAGUUCAGGUUGGUAUUCAGAUAUGACAGUCUUGCGUACAUUCAUUCACCUUAGAGUCGGAUUGCUUGAGAGUGCAGUCCAAAAUGGGUGGUAAACUCCAUCUAAGGCUAAAUACCUGUACGAGUCCGAUAGUCGACAAGUACCGUGAGGGAAAGUUGAAAAGUACUCUGAAGAGAGAGUAAAUAGUACGUGAAACUACAUGGAGGUUAAACAGAUAGAGUCAAGCUGCGUGUUAUUGUUCAUUGCUCUAAUCGUUCCCUGUUGCGUGAAACUUGUUACAUGCUGGCAUGGCGACCUGCUUACUUGUAAGCAUUUGAAUACUUAUGGUGUUUGAAGGUGUGUAGCAAGUAAAAACGAUUAAUGUUUAUGACUAUAGCAAGUGCCAUAGUCGGUUACUUUCCGGUAUGCUAUAACCAGCGAUUGUGCGGACUGACUUAAUUCGUCUGUGCAGUUAGUAUGACAGUUGGCAUGACCCAAUGCUUGCAUUGGGUUUUGUUAAAGAGGGCUACGGCCUGUUGGUUAUGGUGUUUGCCGUGAUGGUGACUGGUAAAACAUGCUCUUUGAAUUCGUGUUGUUAUGCCAACUUGUUGGUUGACAUCAUGAAUGGGUGUAUGAACUAUGGUAUGGUGGUAGACUUUCUAUCUGACCCGUCUUGA